This 301-nucleotide ribosomal RNA is filed under the name uncultured bacterium. RNAcentral's name for it is "partial 16S ribosomal RNA". It matches the Rfam family "Bacterial small subunit ribosomal RNA", at positions 509 to 809 of the family's 1533-position model. The record is from RNAcentral.
CAGUAGCCGCGGUAAUACGUAGGGUGCAAGCGUUAAUCGGAAUUACUGGGCGUAAAGCGUGCGUAGGCGGUGAGUUAAGUCUGCUGUGAAAUCCCCGGGCUCAACCUGGGAAUGGCAGUGGAUACUGGCUCGCUAGAGUGUGUCAGAGGAUGGUGGAAUUCCCGGUGUAGCGGAGAAAUGCGUAGAGAUCGGGAGGAACAUCAGUGGCGAAGGCGGCCAUCUGGGACAACACUGACGCUGAGGCACGAAAGCGUGGGGAGCAAACAGGAUUAGAUACCCCAGUAGUCCCUGUCUCUUAUAA